GUUCGUGCUGAAGGCCUGUUUCCUAGGCUACAAACGAGGGACUUGUUCCUUACUCUACGCCUAGGGGAAAGUCCCCGGACCCUGGGCAGAGAGUGCCACGUGCGUUUGUGCGUAGACCUCCUCGCGUCUCACUUUAAAGCUCCGCCAAGAAGCGAUCCCGCCGCAGUCUGCGGGUGAGCUGAGCGGCAUGAGGGCUGUGUGUGGUCAUCCGUCAGCAUUCUAGUUACGCAGGCAGUGCGCCUCGGUGCGCACCAACCACACGGGGCUCAUUCUCAGUGCGGC
RNAcentral lists this RNase MRP RNA (282 nucleotides) under Choloepus hoffmanni (Hoffmann's two-fingered sloth). RNAcentral describes it as "RNase MRP (ENSCHOG00000015540.1)". It matches the Rfam family "RNase MRP". Rfam says of the family: RNase MRP is an enzymatically active ribonucleoprotein with two distinct roles in eukaryotes. In mitochondria it plays a direct role in the initiation of mitochondrial DNA replication. The record is from RNAcentral. Lineage: Eukaryota; Metazoa; Chordata; Mammalia; Pilosa; Megalonychidae.